Lolium rigidum is the source of this 838-nucleotide long non-coding RNA. RefSeq lists it as uncharacterized. The transcript is spliced from 3 exons. The record is from RefSeq and is a predicted model, not a curated record. NCBI's taxonomy places the organism in Eukaryota, Viridiplantae, Streptophyta, Magnoliopsida, Poales, Poaceae.
AAUAGGAUGGCAUAAGAGAAGCCCAUAUUUUAGAUUUAAAGUGAAAAGGCUUCAUCUCUCGUGUCUAUAUCAGAUGAUGCAAGGCGUGUCGGUGUUAUUUCUAAAUAAUAUUUCUGGUUUUUGUGUAGGUUUGUGUAGAAACGUCAAUUAUGUGCUUGCCCGUGGCGUAAAUGAACAAUGAAAAUGCAGUAGAUUAGCGGCUAAUAAAAAAUGCUCGAGCUUUUAUACUAUCGAUAUUGAUAGCUCUCCCUGAAGUGACAAAAGGCCAAAGUGAUUAAAAUUCCAAUUUAGGGCUAUUGCUUUAGUACCUAAGGUGGAUAGUUAUGCUCUACAGUGGUGCAGUCAAAUGAUUCUGGUUCAGGUUUAAUCAACUCCUUUGAUAUACUUCGAAAUAGCCGAGAUUUUGGUUAUUGGUCUAAUGCUAUGAUUUGCAAUUGGUUCUACUGGUUUCUCUUUUUCGAGGUAUAUGCAAAGUUUGUUUAUCUAGAUUCUUCUUAGUUUAUGACUACAAGGCCUUCGAUGAAAAGGCAAGCUAGCUACACGGAAAUUAUCAAUCUAGGAAUUGUUCAAUGUGCUCAAUAGCUUCUAUUUUCUGAAAUUUAGCCUGCAUCUAAAGAUAGCUUGCAUGUACAUAAUACUAACUCUCCUUACGUAUUAAUUAUGCUCUACCCUGCACCUAUUUUUGUUCUUGGCAUCCAGAAUGAGGUGCAAAACAUCUCUCAUGUCAUGUAACAAUAGUAGUAUAAAUAACAUAUUUUCCCUCUAAAAAAUAUUGUUAUACCAAUGUCCGCUCUAAAUAAGGUCACUGUUGGUUAUACGAUUUUAAUCUUCAGAUUCA